UCGUCCACUCCCCAUAGCCUAACCUCAACCGCUUUCUUAAUUUUCAACUCUCAUUCACGUCGCAUCGUCGGGUACUAUUAAUUCAAGGUAGGUGAUCAUGGGCUUCAUGCUUCCAGAUUUCAUCGAAAUUCGAAGAUUACACGGGUCACUAGUUGUUAUAGAAGAUAUCUUUAAUUUUUGGUUAUUUUUUAUUUGUUUACUUAUAAAGAACUAUUGUUUAAUUAGGAUAUAUUGUGUUAAAUCAUCUUGGAUUUUCUUAUUGAUUCUUUCCCAAGUCGAAUUGUCAAGACAAGUAUGGUAGAAUUCCCAUUUCAUUGAGAAAUAAGAUUAAAACUUUCUUUCGAAA
Molecule: non-coding RNA, 346 nt
Organism: Salvia hispanica
Lineage: Eukaryota; Viridiplantae; Streptophyta; Magnoliopsida; Lamiales; Lamiaceae
Source: RefSeq, a predicted model, not a curated record